Molecule: ribosomal RNA, 496 nt
Filed under: uncultured bacterium
Lineage: Bacteria
Description: bacterial SSU rRNA
Rfam family: Bacterial small subunit ribosomal RNA
Source: RNAcentral
GAUCAUGGCUCAGAUUGAACGCUGGCGGAAUGCUUACACAUGCAAGUCGAACGGCAGCACGGGGGCAACCCUGGUGGCGAGUGGCGAACGGGUGAGUAAUACAUCGGAACGUGCCCAGUCGUGGGGGAUAACGUAGCGAAAGCUACGCUAAUACCGCAUACGAUCUACGGAUGAAAGCCGGGGACCUUCGGGCCUGGCGCGAUUGGAUGAGCCCAUGUCGGAUUAGCUAGUUGGCGGGGUAAUGGCCCACCAAGGCGACGAUCCGUAGCUGGUCUGAGAGGAUGAUCAGCCACACUGGAACUGAGACACGGUCCAGACUCCUACGGGAGGCAGCAGUAGGGAAUAUUGGACAAUGGGCGCAAGCCUGAUCCAGCCAUGCCGCGUGAGUGAAGAAGGCCCUCGGGUUGUAAAGCUCUUUUGUCCGGAAAGAAAAGCGCCGGGUUAAUACCCUGGUGUCCUGACGGUACCGGAAGAAUAAGCACCGGCUAACUUCGUG